This is a long non-coding RNA of Peromyscus eremicus (cactus mouse), 1007 nucleotides long. RefSeq lists it as uncharacterized. Lineage: Eukaryota; Metazoa; Chordata; Mammalia; Rodentia; Cricetidae. The transcript has 4 exons. The record is from RefSeq and is a predicted model, not a curated record.
CACUACAUCACAGGAUGAGGUAGGUGACUUGUGAGGUAUAACUACAGGGAAAAUGUGGCCCCAGUUCAGUUGUUAAUUGAUAUUGGUGAAGUGACAACUUUGGAGACCAGUCUUCUAAAAAGAUGCCAAGAAAGCUUCCUAGACGUUUGGGCUCUCUACCCCGCCACCCUCCUCCUGCUCCUCCAGCUCCUCCUGCUCCUCUCUCUUAUUGUUCAAGCUCUCUUCAUUUUAUGCCUACUCAACCUUCUGCCUGUAGACAAACCACAGAGACCAGUUCCAAUUCUGCUUCCCUGACUACUCAUUUGCCUUCUAUGAAGCAUACAGCCACCUACUCCACCUUAAUGGCCUACUCGCCCACCUUUUUCUCUGUUGCCAGAAGUUCCACUAAGUGUCCUGCUCUAGUUUCUCACACUUCUUGUAAUAUCAAGUCUCCCUUCACUCCACCUAACAGCCCCACUGAAUCAUUUCCUAGUCUGUCAUACUCACCAAGAGGACAGCUGCUGUCUGCCGGACUGAAUAAGACACAUUUCGAUCCCAGGAAGGGGAUUUAGCAGAUACAUCUGUUCAUCAUGAAAAACCUCCAAUUUUCAAUGAAACCAGUCCCCUAAGCAUAUGAGAAUGCACAAUAUACGAAAAUAAAGACCUGGUACAUGUAGGUGGAAGUUUUGCAACUUUGACCUGUCAGCAUACCUUGUAUGAAUCUCAACACACAUGAAAAGAAGAACAAUCUUGGCUGGUCCAGCAACAAACACAACUCAGAGCCAUCUGGACACUUCAGAUGGAGGAUCUCCACAGGUUCAGAGAUGCAAGAUGAAUGUGGAAGUUUUGUAGAGAGGAGGCAGAAGAUGAACUAUGAGGAAUGGUGAUGGGGAGCACUUGAAGAUCAUGAACCUGAGCAUGGCCCCUGAGAAGCUAACAUCUACCGCCUAAGCCUGACCUUGCAGGUCACCCUCCAUUCAGUGUGAAGCUAUAUAUUAAAAAAAAGAAAGAAAAGAAAAAGGAAGGCU